UACGGGGGGAGCAAGCGUUGUUCGGAUUUACUGGGCGUAAAGGGCGCGUAGGCGGUCGUGACAAGUCACUUGUGAAAUCUCCGGGCUUAACUCGGAACGGUCAAGUGAUACUGUCGGACUAGAGUACAGAAGGGGCAACUGGAAUUCUCGGUGUAGCGGUGAAAUGCGUAGAGAUCAUGAGGAAGACCAGUGGCGAAGGCGGGUCUCUGGGACGGUAUUGACGCUGAGACGCGAAAGCGUGGGGAGCGAACAGG
Molecule: ribosomal RNA, 254 nt
Filed under: uncultured bacterium
Lineage: Bacteria
Description: partial 16S ribosomal RNA
Rfam family: Bacterial small subunit ribosomal RNA
Source: RNAcentral